CCUACGGGUGGCAGCAGUGAGGAAUAUUGGUCAAUGGCCGUAAGGCUGAACCAGCCAAGUAGCGUGAGGGAAGACUGCCCUAUGGGUUGUAAACCUCUUUUAUGCGGGGAUAAAGGUGUCCACGUGUGGAUGUUUGCAGGUACCGCAUGAAUAAGGACCGGCUAAUUCCGUGCCAGCAGCCGCGGUAAUACGGAAGGUCCGGGCGUUAUCCGGAUUUAUUGGGUUUAAAGGGAGCGUAGGCGGGCAUUUAAGCCGGCGGUCAAAUGUCGGGGCUCAACCCCGGCCUGCCGUCGGAACUGGGUGCCUUGAGUGGGCGAGAAGUAUGCGGAAUGCGUGGUGUAGCGGUGAAAUGCUUAGAUAUCACGAAGAACUCCGAUUGCGAAGGCAGCCUACUAAACUGCCACUGACAUUGAUGCUCGAAAGUGUGGGUAUCAAACAGGAUUAGAUACCCCAGUAGUC
RNAcentral lists this ribosomal RNA (459 nucleotides) under uncultured bacterium. Its description in RNAcentral is "partial 16S ribosomal RNA". It matches the Rfam family "Bacterial small subunit ribosomal RNA", at positions 338 to 795 of the family's 1533-position model. The record is from RNAcentral.